CCAGCAGCCGCGGUAAUUCCAGCUCCAAUAGCGUAUAUUAAAGUUGUUGCAGUUAAAAAGCUCGUAGUCGGACUUCUGGUGGCGCGUUGCGGUCCGCCGCAAGGUGAGCACUGCGGCGCGCUGCCAUCCUCUUGAGGACCGUGUGGGCCCUUAACUGGGUCUGCGCGGGACUCAGGACCUUUACUUUGAAAAAAUUAGAGUGUUCAAAGCAGGCCUUCGCUUGAAUACAUUAGCAUGGAAUAAUGGAAUAGGACUUUGGUUCUAUUUUGUUGGUUUCUAGGACCGAAGUAAUGAUUAAUAGGGACAGUUGGGGGCAUUCGUAUUUAAUUGUCAGAGGUGAAAUU
This 344-nucleotide ribosomal RNA is filed under the name uncultured eukaryote. RNAcentral describes it as "SSU rRNA". It matches the Rfam family "Eukaryotic small subunit ribosomal RNA", at positions 567 to 918 of the family's 1831-position model. The record is from RNAcentral.